This 862-nucleotide ribosomal RNA is filed under the name uncultured marine group I thaumarchaeote. RNAcentral describes it as "SSU rRNA". It matches the Rfam family "Archaeal small subunit ribosomal RNA", at positions 27 to 901 of the family's 1478-position model. The record is from RNAcentral. Lineage: Archaea; Thermoproteati; Nitrososphaerota.
CUGCUAUCGGAUUGAUACUAAGCCAUGCGAGUCUUUGCAGUAAUGCAAGGCAGACGGCUCAGUAACACGUAGUCAACUUACCCUAUGGACGAGGAUAAUCUCGGGAAACUGAGCAUAAUACUCGAUAGAUCAUAAUGCCUGGAAUGGUUUAUGAUUAAAAUGAUUCGUCGCCAUAGGAUGGGACUGCGGCCUAUCAGCUUGUUGGUGAGGUAAUGGCCCACCAAGGCGAUUACAGGUACGGGCUCUGAGAGGAGAAGCCCGGAGAUGGGUACUGAGACACGGACCCAGGCCCUAUGGGGCGCAGCAGGCGAGAAAACUUUGCAAUGUGCGAAAGCACGACAAGGUUAAUCCGAGUGAUUUCUGCUAAAGAAACCUUUUGCCAGUCAUAAAACCACUAGUGAAUAAGGGGUGGGCAAGUUCUGGUGUCAGCCGCCGCGGUAAAACCAGCACCUCAAGUGGUCAGGAUGAUUAUUGGGCCUAAAGCAUCCGUAGCCGGCUUUGUAAGUUUUCGGUUAAAUCCAUGUGCUCAACGCAUGGGCUGCCGAAAAUACUGCAUGGCUAGGGAGUGGGAGAGGUAGACGGUACUCAGUAGGAAGGGGUAAAAUCCUUUGAUCUAUUGAUGACCACCUGUGGCGAAGGCGGUCUACCAGAACACGUUCGACGGUGAGGGAUGAAAGCUGGGGGAGCAAACCGGAUUAGAUACCCGGGUAGUCCCAGCCGUAAACUAUGCAAACUCAGUGAUGCAUUGGCUUGUGGCCAAUGCAGUGUUGCACGGAAGCCGUUAAGUUUGCCGCCUGGGAAGUACGUACGCAAGUAUGAACUUAAGGAAUUGGCGGGGAGCACACAAGGGUGAAGCUGCGGU